This 479-nucleotide ribosomal RNA is filed under the name uncultured bacterium. RNAcentral describes it as "partial 16S ribosomal RNA". It matches the Rfam family "Bacterial small subunit ribosomal RNA", at positions 28 to 507 of the family's 1533-position model. The record is from RNAcentral.
GAUGAACGCUAGCGGGAGGCCUAACACAUGCAAGCAGAGCGGUAUUGUUUCUUCGGAAAUGAGAGAGCGGAGUACGGGUGCGUAACACGUGUGCAACCUGCCUUUAUCUGGGGGAUAGCCUUUCGAAAGGAAGAUUAAUACUCCAUAAUAUAUUGAACGGCAUCGUUUAAUAUUGAAAGCUCAGUCGGAUAGAGAUGGGCACGCGCAAGAUUAGCCAGUUGGUGAGGUAACGGCUCACCAAGGCGAUGAUCUUUAGGGGGCCUGAGAGGGUGAUCCCCCACACUGGCACUGAGACACGGACCAGACUCCUACGGGAGGCAGCAGUGAGGAAUAUUGGUCAAUGGGUACAAGACUGAACCAGCCAACCCGCGUGAAGGACGACUGCCCUAUGGGUUGUAAACUUCUUUUGAAUAGGGAUAAACCUACCCUCGUGAGAGUAGCUGAAGGUACUAUACGAAUAAGCACCGGCUAACUCCGUG